Long non-coding RNA from Lagopus muta (rock ptarmigan), 3212 nucleotides. RefSeq lists it as uncharacterized. The record is from RefSeq and is a predicted model, not a curated record. NCBI's taxonomy places the organism in Eukaryota, Metazoa, Chordata, Aves, Galliformes, Phasianidae. The transcript has 3 exons.
GGACAGCAACUGAAAGGAGAUCAUCUCUUGGGCCUACAUUGCUUCCUGAGAAGGACUGAUGCAUCACCAGAGAGCUCCUUUAUCAGUGCGGUACACUGAGAUUCUGCCUGGUUGCCCUUCCCACAGCACUGAUAUUUCAGAAAUAAAGAUAUCUGCUGAAAGUUCUGAAUACAUCCUUUUCCUUCAGCUGCAGUUGUUUGGCUUCCUUGCUUCCUGUGAUGACCACCCUUCUGUGAGCAACCAUCAUCACCUAAGCACUCAAGGCAUCAGCAUCUCUGCAUACGGUAGCUUCACCAGGAGAGGAGUAACUUAGACCCUGGACCCUUUUCUUCCUUCAUCUCUUUCUUUAGCUUGUUUGCUCAAAACUUGAUGGUCCCAAGUUGGAUUCCUCUAAUUUCAAUGGAGAUUUCUGUGCUUUUUAAUUUUUUUGUGAGGUCUGCCUUUGUUAUCAGCUUAUUUUAAAACUUUAGAGUAUUUUUUGGCAUAAAUGUGUACACUUUCCCUCGUCUAUGUACUAUACAUGCCUGCUAGAUCCUUUAUUCAUAGUUUCUUACACAGUUGCAGCUCCUUUUGAGGUCAAAUUCUUAUCAAGUGUAAGUUGAUGGUGCCUUAUUUAAACUGAGCUGCAUUAGUUUACACUGAAUAGGAUCCUGCUUUUUUAGAGUUUGUGUUAUUAAUUGCUAAGGCAAUUGCAAAUACUCAUGUUUAUGGAAAGUUCUGAUAAUAAGAUCAUUUUAUUUGUAAUUCAAGUUAAAUUAGAUAGACAAAACUUUAUUCUACAGCCAUGCUUGCUGUUUUUAUUCUAACCAACGAAAAAAGCUUUCCUCUGAAAGUAUGUCUUCUCUCCUUCCACAAAGAAAGAUGAUUUGAUCAAGUGUCUUGAUUACUAUUUCUCCUGUUUGAAAGCAUAUAAACCUUUUGGAUAGGAUAGCUAGGGAAUCAUUUGACUGGAAAAGAAAUUUUGUGAUGAUAUGAGCAAGUGUAGCUGCAUACUUCCACGGUACGGUUGUAUUAUUUUUAGAUCUGGAUAUACUUCUUGUUUAAAAACUCUUUUCCUGAAAGAGUGUCAUUGUCUGGCAUUACCUUCCAAACUGGCUAUACUUUAAAGUUUUAAAUGAAGAUGUAUAUAUUGUGGCUGCUGGUGAAAUAGAAUGGCAGUUGUUGAUGGCCACAGCUGGGGAGUAAAUUAACUGGGGAACAAUCUCAAUUCAUGCUUUUGAGAAAUGGUCCAGACAAUCAUAACCUAAAAUAAGAUCAUUCUGAAAGUGAGGAGCUUUUGGCUUCCAGUUUGGACAGGUUUGCUCAAACAUUGUAAGGAUUUAAUUACUUAUAUAACUGAAGUAUUUCUGCAGUUAGUGAAUGUUAAAAAUAUCAUAUGUGCAGCAUAUGCUUUUUCUAAAGUGUUAGAGGAAAUACAAUUCAAAGUGGAGGGGAUGAAACACCAUGACAUUUCUCUAACAGAAUUUCCAGCUUUACAAGAUGCCUCGCGUGAUGUAUGAUUAUCAAAGCAUAUGCAUCCCAGUUUUUACAGACUGGAAUAAGCGCGAACACUUUUUUUUUUUUUUAACUUAAAUGGAUCUAAGCCAAAUGUUCUGAGGUUUGUCCAUGAUAUUUCAUUACAAAACAAUCAGACAUUUCCAACUAGAAAUGCUUUUAUGAUUUACCAUGUUCUACUUGUAAGCCUUUGAAGAGAGAGUACUGGUUGCACCAUCAUUUAAUAAAAUUUGGACAGCUACAUUUUUUAUGCAAAAAAUAUGCCCUGGAAGCAAAUCUUUUUAUCAUUGGUCUUAACGAGUUUUCUGGCAGUCUACUGCACAAUUGUGAGUAAAUAUCAUUAAUAUUAAUUUGAAUAUCUACCCACUGUAAUUCAGAAAAUACCAAUGUCAUGAAUUGACCAGGAAUCACUGAGGAUAGCUACAAAUACUUGAGAAAUAUCUUCAGAUGUUCCAGCUGUUGGACGAAUAAUCCACAUUCUUUACAAAUGCUUGACGUUAUUGGCAUAUGAACCACUUAGCUGAAUGGGUAAAUGAAAAAGAAUGAGAAGUUGUGCAACCAAUUUGGGCAAUAUCUCUCUCCUUAUUCUGAGAAUGGCCUGGUUAAUUAGAAUGCUUUAAAUGCAACAUCUGUCUGUCUGAUAUGCACAGCUGUACAAUUUGUGCUCUGCUUGUGAUCCAGCUACACAGCCUGCCACACGCCAUCUGCUUUCUGUGGACUGUAAAAGGCAGUAUCUUGAUUGCCAUGUAUAGGAGGUGGAUUUCUUAUUCUUUCAAAUCUUGUUUUCAUUUUACUUUGUUCUUUCUGCCCUCCUUUGUAAUCCACAGGUUAGAAACUUGAAUUACUGCAAUUUAAUUAAAAUCUUUUUUACUCUAGGUGAAUUUUUCCAGGGGUAAUUCCUUGAGAACUGUAAGAUACAGAAGACCCCACAUGACACAAAUAACUUGAAUAGCAAGUACUAUCUAUAGAUAACAUCAUACAUUAAAGAAUAUUCAGUUGAAUGAUUUCAUGAAAUCUAAGCAAGUUAUUUUAACUUAGCCAGGUUUCUGUCAUUGCUAAGCUUUUGAACAGCUGAAGGACUUUUAAAAUGUUUCACAAGACAGAAUGUGUUGGAUGUUUCCUAGCUUUAAGAGGGUGUAAUAGAUGCACAAUUCAAAUCACAUAAGUUAAGGGAACUGAUAUGAUAGAGACACCUUCUAUUUUAGGGUUGGACAUUAGAUCUAGCUAUCAAUAAAAAACUGUGUACUGAACUCCAACAACAUCAACACUGAUGGGAGAACAAUCUGCUCAGCAACUACUUGUUGCUUUGGAAGUUUUACACCUGUAUGUAUAUUACAGCUUAAUGCUCAUCAGCUGCUUAGACUGCCAUUAUCUAUGGCAUUAUUUGUUCAGCUAGAUUUUUUUUCUCUACUAUAAAGAUAAAAAAGCUAUUAAAGAAGGGACAGAAAAUGGGAAACACUCUGACAGGAGUAGGAUGCAAGGCUAAGUGUAACAGUACUGAGGCUGCUGGUGACCAUCCUGUAAAAAAUGUGAUACUCCAAACAUGUAUUGUUUGCCAAAAAUUGCUGGGAAAAAAAAAAAAAAUAUCUACAAAUGUACUAGCAGUGCUAUUAAUCAAACUGCUUAUAUAUGGAAGACAUUUAUACAUGAUACAUUAGUUUUCUUCCAAAAAAUGGUCAGUUUUCUUCUGACUGCAGUUUAUGAUAUCCCAAAUGAAG